UUUUAGGGAUGGUUUGGAGUCAUAUACUUAUCACUUCGUCAGUUUAUCAGGAUAUUUAUCAUUCUGGAAAUCAAAAAAGUAUGUAGAGACUAACCUUACAUGCUCUUUUGAAAAUGUGUCUCACUGACAGUUAAUGGGUGUAGUUCUUUUGGUGGGGGAGAGCUAGAACUCUUUCUUUGGUCACUAACAGAGCACUGCAACAGAGGUGACCUAAGAGUAAAAUCUCAAGCUGUCUGUGGCUUCUGAUUGACUUUAAUACAAUUAGUACAAAGAUCUUCCCAACACUCUGAAUGAAUAAGGAAUUAAAAAUUCAUUGGAUGGAGGAUUGGGUAGAUAGGCAGAUGGAUAGAAGCUAAUAUAUUCAGGCCUUUGGCUAGCAUAUUCAUAUUUCUUGGAGGUUUUCUAACAAGAUACUCUGUAAGAGAACCUGGCUAUCCAUAGUUUACAACAAACCUAGGUCCACCCCAGGAACCCUGGCUAGGGACUGUGACGUGGCUGUCUGGUUUUCUGGGCCUGUGGGAGGCAUCACAUAGGCUAAUCCUUGUCAUGAGAUGUCUUCUAUCAUAUCCCCUAACCAGGCAGGGCCAGAAGACAUAUCCUUCUCAGGUGGAGGCCCAGCCACUUGCUGGCAAAUUUUUUCACAGAAGGACAUUCAAAACUCUGAGAGAUAUGUCAAAAGUUUCUAGAGGUUUCCAGUAGGCUCUGAGCUCUGCAUUUUUGUCACAGAGGGAGGGAGGAAAUCAUGGAACAACUUUAAUCUUAUUCUACAUACAAAGUAAUUGCUUGUACUUAAAAAAAAAAAAAAAUCCUGGAUUGGUCUGUCUGAUUUUAUUAAGGCUUUCAGAGUGGCACGUUUUAAUUCCUUUGCUGUUUCCAUGUAGUGCUAUUGUAUUUACUUGCUAAAGCAGAGAACAGAAAAGAACAUGACAUUCCAAAAUAUACUCUUUCCCAUGAUAUGCCCUUCCUCUGUCAGCAUGGGGUACCUUUACUUCACUUUUUUCCCCUACACAGCUGCAUAAAUUAAGACAGGAAUCAGCUGACUACACUGCCUCUUUUU
Molecule: long non-coding RNA, 1057 nt
Filed under: Bos taurus (domestic cattle)
Lineage: Eukaryota; Metazoa; Chordata; Mammalia; Artiodactyla; Bovidae
Description: long non-coding RNA NONBTAT024307
Source: RNAcentral